UACGAAAGGCGCUAGCGUUGUUCGGAAUUACUGGGCGUAAAGCGCGCGUAGGCGGCCUAGCAAGUUGGGGGUGAAAACCCAGGGCUCAACCUUGGAAUUGCCUCCAAAACUGCUAAGCUCGAGGCCGAGAGAGGAGUGUGGAAUUCCUAGUGUAGAGGUGAAAUUCGUAGAUAUUAGGAAGAACACCGGUGGCGAAGGCGACACUCUGGCUCGGUACUGACGCUGAGGCGCGAAAGCGUGGGUAGCAAACAGG
RNAcentral lists this ribosomal RNA (253 nucleotides) under uncultured bacterium. RNAcentral describes it as "partial 16S ribosomal RNA". It matches the Rfam family "Bacterial small subunit ribosomal RNA", at positions 524 to 776 of the family's 1533-position model. The record is from RNAcentral.